GGAAGUAAAAGUCGUAACAAGGUUUCCGUAGGUGAACCUGCGGAAGGAUCAUUAUAAAAUUUUCGUAUAUUUAUUUUUUAAAUAUAUAAAAUUACACGUUCAAAACCCACACUCUUGUAACCAUUUAUAAAAUAUAUUAUAUCUUGCAUAUAAUAAUAAUUAAAAACAACUUUCAACAACGGAUCUCUUGGCUCUCGCAUCGAUGAAGAACGCAGCGAAUUGCGAUAAGUAAUGUGAAUUGCAGAAUUACGUGAAUCAUCGAAUCUUUGAACGCAUAUUGCACUCUCUGGUAAUCCGGGGAGUAUGCCUGUUUGAGGGUCAGUAAAUAAUAAAUUAUCACAAUCGUUGGUUGUGGAAUUGGGCUCUUAUUUCGAAUAGAUUUAUGGCCUUAAAUUUACGUCAUGUGCUUAAUUCGAACCAAACGGAGCAAUUAAACAUUCUCUCGUUAGACGGAUUACUCACAAGCCAUUACGAUUUUUUGGACGACAAAAAGCACUUUCACGAGCGCGAAGCCCAAGAUCGUAAAUUCAUCCUGACAAAUGACCUCAAAUCAGGCAAGAAUACCCGCUGAACUUAAGCAUAUCAAUAAGCGGAGGA
Molecule: ribosomal RNA, 597 nt
Rfam family: 5.8S ribosomal RNA (bases 168-321)